Molecule: ribosomal RNA, 253 nt
Filed under: uncultured bacterium
Lineage: Bacteria
Description: partial 16S ribosomal RNA
Rfam family: Bacterial small subunit ribosomal RNA
Source: RNAcentral
UACGAAGGGUGCAAACGUUGCUCGGAAUUAUUGGGCGUAAAGCGCACGUAGGCGGCUUUGCAAGUCGGAUGUGAAAUCCCUCGGCUCAACCAAGGAAGUGCAUCCGAAACUGCAGAGCUUGAGUACCAAAGAGGAUCGCGGAAUUCCCGGUGUAGAGGUGAAAUUCGUAGAUAUCGGGAGGAACACCAGUGGCGAAGGCGGCGAUCUGGGUGGAUACUGACGCUGAGGUGCGAAAGCGUGGGGAGCAAACAAG